GCCGUCAGGGGGGCGGCGGCGGCGGCGCUGAGGGAGCUGAGGGAGGAGCUGCAGGUACUGGCUUAUACUGGUUUAUACUGGUUUAUACUGGGAGGGGUUUGGAUGAUUUUUUUAGGGAAUUUUUAGGGAAUUUUUUUAGGAAUUUUUGGGGAAUUUUUGUGGAAUUUUGGGGGAAUUUUUGAGAAAUUUUUAGGGAAUUUUUAAGGAAAUUUUAGGGAAUUUUUGAGGAAUUUUUAAGGGAUUUGGAGGGAAUUUUUGGGGAAUUUUUAGGGAAUUAUUUGAGGAAUUUUUGAGAGAAUUUUUGGGAAUUUUUGAGGAAUUUUUAGGGAAUUUUUGAGGGAAUUUCGAGGGAAUUUUAAUGAAUUUUUUAGGGAGCUUUAGAGAAAUUUUUGAGGAAUUUUUUGGGAAUUUUUGAGGAGUUUUUGAGGAAUUUUUAAAGGAAUUUUUAAAGAAUUUUUGGGGAAUUUUUAAGGGGUUUUGAGGGAAUUUUUUUGGGAAUUUUUGAGGAAUUUUUGAGAAAAUUUUUGGGAAUUUUUAGGGAAUUUUUGGGGAAUUUUUGAGGAAAUUUCUGGGAAUUUUUGUGGAAUUUUGGGGGAAUUUUAAGGGAAUUUUUUGGGAAUUUUUGAGGAAUUUUUGGGUGAAAUUUUGGGAAUUUUGGGGUGAAUUUUUGGGAAUUUUUGGGUGAAAUUUUGGGAAUUUUGGGGUGAAAUUUUGGGAAUUUUGGGGUGAAAUUUUGGGAAUUUUUGGGUGAAAUUUUGGGAAUUUUUUGGGGUGAAAUUUUGGGAAUUUUGGGGUGAAAUUUUGGGAAUUUUGGGUGAAAUUUGGGGAAUUUUUGGGUGAAAUUUUGGGAAUUUUGGGGUGAAAUUUUGGGAAUUUUUGGGUGAAAUUUUGGGAAUUUUGGGGUGAAAUUUUGGGAAUUUUGGGGGGAAUUUUUGGGAAUUUUUGGGUGAAAUUUUGGGAAUUUUUGGGGUGGAAUUUUGGGAAUUUUGGGGUGAAAUUUUUUGGAAUUUUUCGGGAUCAGCCCGAGGUGGCUCCGCUGGCGGCCGAGGCCCUCCCGAGGAUUUUGGGGGAAUUUUGGGGCUCCCGGAAUUCCGGGAAUUCCCCAAAUCCCGACCCCAGGUCCUGGUUCGUGCUGGAGACGCUGCUGGAGGCGCUGGAGGUGCUGGCGGCGCUGGGCCCGGCCGUGGUGGGGGAGGGGCUGCUGGAGGCUCUGGAGCGGGGGCUGGGCCUGGCCCCGGGGGAUCCCGAGGCCACCAGGGUGAGGUGAGUGAGGCAAUUCCCCCAAAAUUCCCAAAAAUUCCCCCAAAAUUCCCAGAAUUCCCUGAAAUUCCCCAAAAUUCCCCAAAUUCCCAGAAUUCCCCAAAUUCCCAAAAAAAAUUCCCCAAAAAAAUUCCCAAAAAAAACCCCAAAAAUCCCAAAAAUUCCCCCAAAAUCCCCCCAAAUUCCCCCAAAUUCCCAGAAUUCCCCAGAAUUCCCCAGAAUUCCCAAAAUUCCCAAAAUUCCCCAAAAUUCCCCAGAAUUCCCAGAAUUCCCCAAAAAAAGCCCCAAAAAACUCCAAAAAUUCCGCCAAAAAUUCCCAAAAAUUCCCCAAAAUUCCCAAAAAUUCCCCAAAACUCCCCAAAGAAAUUCCCCAAAAAAAUUCCCCCCAAAAAUUCCCAAAAAUUCCCCAAGAAUUCCAAAAAAUUCCCACAAAAUAUUCCCAAAAACCCCCGAAAUUCCCCCCAAAAAACUCCAAAAAACCCCAAAAAUUCCCCCAAAAAUUCCCAAAAAAAUCCCUGAAAAUUCCCCCAAAAAAUCCCAAAAUUGAAAAAAAACCCCAAAAAUUCCCCAAAAAAAAUUCCCAAAAAAACCCCAAAAAACCCCAAAAAAUUCCCAGAAAAUUCCCCUAAAAAUCCCAAAAAACCCAAAAAAAUUUCCAGAAAAUUCACAAAAAAUCCAAAAAAUUCCCCCAAAAUUCCCCAAAAAAAUCCCUGAAAAUUCCCUCCAAAAAAUUCCCAAAACCCCCCGAAAUUCCCCCAAAAAACCCCCAAAAAUCCCAAAAAUUCCCUCGAAAAUUCCCAAAAAUUCCCCAGAAAAUUUCCCAAAAAAAUUCCCCCCCAAAAAUUCCCCCAAAAAUCCCCAAAAAU
RNAcentral lists this long non-coding RNA (2126 nucleotides) under Cyanistes caeruleus (blue tit). RNAcentral describes it as "lncRNA (ENSCCEG00000001971.1)". The record is from RNAcentral. Lineage: Eukaryota; Metazoa; Chordata; Aves; Passeriformes; Paridae.